UGUGGUUGUCACAAAUCCAGGUACUUUGAAUCAAUGUGUGAACUGUAGAAUGCUUAAACAAUUCUUUCAUCUUUCACCACAGAAUCAAAGGAUCGCAGUUCGAGUCCCUACUGGUGUAAGAGCACCCUAGUUUACUCCAGGAGACCUUUGAUCUUCCAGGACACUUGCUAUUCCUGGGCUUACAGUCAAAUUUCAUGGAACCAGUGAGGUGAAGAGGAUAUUCUAUCAGCCAAGUCUCUUUGAAGCCACCUUACAAACAUCUGGCAAUUGCAGGAGCCCUGGGUGAAGUGGGACGAGGAGAAGCAGAGAUGCAAGAGG
Molecule: long non-coding RNA, 318 nt
Organism: Clarias gariepinus (North African catfish)
Lineage: Eukaryota; Metazoa; Chordata; Actinopteri; Siluriformes; Clariidae
Exons: 3
Source: RefSeq, a predicted model, not a curated record